This 185-nucleotide long non-coding RNA is filed under the name Felis catus (domestic cat). RNAcentral describes it as "lncRNA (ENSFCAG00000053016.1)". Lineage: Eukaryota; Metazoa; Chordata; Mammalia; Carnivora; Felidae. The record is from RNAcentral.
AGGAGAAAAUCAUCUCAGAACUGAAAUGUUUGUCAAAGGAAGCCAGAAGAAUAGAUGAGAAACAAGGUCGGGGGCGGAAACAGGUAGGAACAAGACUUAUUUUUGUGUCAUUUUGAUUUGUGAACCAUACGAUGUUUAGCUAUUUGAAAUAAGCUGAAAGUCUUGUGGUAGUGGCGUUAUCCAUU